This 497-nucleotide ribosomal RNA is filed under the name uncultured bacterium. RNAcentral describes it as "partial 16S ribosomal RNA". It matches the Rfam family "Bacterial small subunit ribosomal RNA", at positions 28 to 507 of the family's 1533-position model. The record is from RNAcentral.
GAUGAACGCUGGCGGCGUGCCUAAUACAUGCAAGUCGAGCGAACGGACGAGAAGCUUGCUUCUCUGAUGUUAGCGGCGGACGGGUGAGUAACACGUGGAUAACCUACCUAUAAGACUGGGAUAACUUCGGGAAACCGGAGCUAAUACCGGAUAAUAUUUUGAACCGCAUGGUUCAAAAGUGAAAGACGGUCUUGCUGUCACUUAUAGAUGGAUCCGCGCUGCAUUAGCUAGUUGGUAAGGUAACGGCUUACCAAGGCAACGAUGCAUAGCCGACCUGAGAGGGUGAUCGGCCACACUGGAACUGAGACACGGUCCAGACUCCUACGGGAGGCAGCAGUAGGGAAUCUUCCACAAUGGGCGAAAGCCUGACGGAGCAACGCCGCGUGAGUGAUGAAGGUCUUCGGAUCGUAAAACUCUGUUAUUAGGGAAGAACAUAUGUGUAAGUAACUGUGCACAUCUUGACGGUACCUAAUCAGAAAGCCACGGCUAACUACGUG